This 382-nucleotide ribosomal RNA is filed under the name marine Metazoa environmental sample. RNAcentral describes it as "SSU rRNA". It matches the Rfam family "Eukaryotic small subunit ribosomal RNA", at positions 587 to 972 of the family's 1831-position model. Lineage: Eukaryota; Metazoa. The record is from RNAcentral.
AGCUCCAAUAGCGUAUAUUAAAGUUGUUGCAGUUAAAAAGCUCGUAGUUGGAUCUCGGGUCCAGGCUUGCGGUUUCUGCUCAGGUAGAUUACUGCUCGUCCUGACCUACCAGCCGGUUUUCCCUCGGUGCCCUUAAUUGGGUGUCUCGGGUGACCGGAACGUUUACUUUGAAAAAAUUAGAGUGUUCAAAGCAGGCAGUGCGCCUGAAUAAUGUUGCAUGGAAUAAUGGAAAAGGAUCUCGGUUCUAUUUUGUUGGUUUUCGGAACUCGAGAUAAUGAUUGAGAGGGACGGCCGGGGGCAUUCGUAUUACGGUGUUAGAGGUGAAAUUCUUGGAUCGCCGUAAGACGAACUACUGCGAAAGCAUUUGCCAAGAAUGUUUUCA